GAUGAACGCUGGCGGCGUGCCUAAUACAUGCAAGUCGAGCGAACAGACGAGGAGCUUGCUCCUCUGACGUUAGCGGCGGACGGGUGAGUAACACGUGGAUAACCUACCUAUAAGACUGGGAUAACUUCGGGAAACCGGAGCUAAUACCGGAUAAUAUAUUGAACCGCAUGGUUCAAUAGUGAAAGACGGUUUUGCUGUCACUUAUAGAUGGAUCCGAGCCGCAUUAGCUAGUUGGUAAGGUAACGGCUUACCAAGGCGACGAUGCGUAGCCGACCUGAGAGGGUGAUCGGCCACACUGGAACUGAGACACGGUCCAGACUCCUACGGGAGGCAGCAGUAGGGAAUCUUCGGCAAUGGGCGAAAGCCUGACGGAGCAACGCCGCGUGAGUGAUGAAGGCCUUCGGAUCGUAAAACUCUGUUAUUAGGGACGAAAAAAUGUGUGAGUAACUAUGCACGUCUUGACGGUACCUAAUCAGAAAGCCACGGCUAACUACGUG
This 497-nucleotide ribosomal RNA is filed under the name uncultured bacterium. RNAcentral describes it as "partial 16S ribosomal RNA". It matches the Rfam family "Bacterial small subunit ribosomal RNA", at positions 28 to 507 of the family's 1533-position model. The record is from RNAcentral.